ACACUCCUGCGGGAGGCAGCAGUGGGGAAUUUUGGACAAUGGGCGAAAGCCUGAUCCAGCCAUGCCGCGUGCAGGAUGAAGGCCUUCGGGUUGUAAACUGCUUUUGUACGGAACGAAACGGCCUUUUCUAAUAAAGAGGGCUAAUGACGGUACCGUAAGAAUAAGCACCGGCUAACUACGUGCCAGCAGCCGCGGUAAUACGUAGGGUGCAAGCGUUAAUCGAAAUUACUGGGCGUAAAGCGUGCGCAGGCGGUUAUGUAAGACAGUUGUGAAAUCCCCGGGCUCAACCUGGGAACUGCAUCUGUGACUGCAUAGCUAGAGUACGGUAGAGGGGGAUGGAAUUCCGCGUGUAGCAGUGAAAUGCGUAGAUAUGCGGAGGAACACCGAUGGCGAAGGCAAUCCCCUGGACCUGUACUGACGCUCAUGCACGAAAGCGUGGGGAGCAAACAGGAUUAGAAACCCGUGUAGUCCC
Molecule: ribosomal RNA, 472 nt
Filed under: uncultured organism
Description: partial 16S ribosomal RNA
Rfam family: Bacterial small subunit ribosomal RNA
Source: RNAcentral